RNAcentral lists this ribosomal RNA (301 nucleotides) under uncultured bacterium. RNAcentral describes it as "partial 16S ribosomal RNA". It matches the Rfam family "Bacterial small subunit ribosomal RNA", at positions 509 to 807 of the family's 1533-position model. The record is from RNAcentral.
CAGCAGCCGCGGUAAUACGUAGGGUCCGAGCGUUGUCCGGAAUUAUUGGGCGUAAAGGGCUCGUAGGCGGUUUGUUGCGUCGGGAGUGAAAACCUACAGCUUAACUGUGGGCUUGCUUUCGAUACGGGCAGACUUGAGGCAUUGAGGGGAGAACGGAAUUCCUGGUGUAGCGGUGAAAUGCGCAGAUAUCAGGAGGAACACCGGUGGCGAAGGCGGUUCUCUGGCAAUGUUCUGACGCUGAGGAGCGAAAGUGUGGGGAGCGAACAGGAUUAGAUACCCGCGUAGUCCCUGUCUCUUAUAC